CUUUCCCUCUGGCUUCAGGCCUAACACAUGCAAGUCGAACGGUAACAGGAAACAGCUUGCUGUUUCGCUGACGAGUGGCGGACGGGUGAGUAAUGUCUGGGAAACUGCCUGAUGGAGGGGGAUAACUACUGGAAACGGUAGCUAAUACCGCAUAACGUCGCAAGACCAAAGAGGGGGACCUUCGGGCCUCUUGCCAUCGGAUGUGCCCAGAUGGGAUUAGCUAGUAGGUGGGGUAACGGCUCACCUAGGCGACGAUCCCUAGCUGGUCUGAGAGGAUGACCAGCCACACUGGAACUGAGACACGGUCCAGACUCCUACGGGAGGCAGCAGUGGGGAAUAUUGCACAAUGGGCGCAAGCCUGAUGCAGCCAUGCCGCGUGUAUGAAGAAGGCCUUCGGGUUGUAAAGUACUUUCAGCGGGGAUGAAGGGAGUAAAGUUAAUACCUUUGCUCAUUGACGUUACCCGCAGAAGAAGCACCGGCUAACUCCGUG
Molecule: ribosomal RNA, 490 nt
Filed under: uncultured bacterium
Lineage: Bacteria
Description: partial 16S ribosomal RNA
Rfam family: Bacterial small subunit ribosomal RNA
Source: RNAcentral